CACCUCCUGCAGGAGUUAGCUACAAGGAGGGCAUGCACUUGGGCUCAGUGGUGGGGAGGAAGGGGCCAGCUCAGGGCUCUGAAGUGGGAGAUGGCAGGGUUAGAUAGGGCCAGCAGGUUGGGGGUGCGUGGAGGAGAAAGGGAAGGGCUAAAAGAAAGGCUAGGCCCUGGGAGGGGUGUGUGGAAGGCAGCUUUCAAAGUGCCACAGACCAUCCACACUGGAGACAGCAGCCGUCGAGGCCAGGCUGUCCCUGUUGUCAGCUGGAGUUGGGGCGCUUGACCUCCAGGAAGGCACAGGUCUUUGAGGCCUAGGUGGACCCAGUGUCCUAGCCUGAGUGGAAGGCAUGUUGGGGAAAAGAUGGCAGAACAGGUAGUGGAGACAGGUGGAACAGGGCCCUUGAGGCCCAGGAAAUGAUCAUGAAAGGAACAUGGGGACUGGGCUACAGGUGGGCAGGUAGUGGAGACAGGUGGAACUGGGUUGAGGCCCAGAAAUGAUCAUGGAGAACAAACAUGGGGACAGGGCUGCAGGUGGGGAGGGAGGGCCGACUUUGCCAUGCCAGCAGCCCCCUUUUUUUCCAGACAAGGGGUGUGAACCCUCCUGGGGAUGAGGACUGGUCUUUGAAAAGUGGACUUAGCUUCGUGGGCCUGACAGCUCUGGCCCAGGGUGGUAUGUAAUUGGGGCUCGGCCUGGUGGCACUCAAUUCUGGGUGUGAGGCGAGGCCCUGGUCAGAGGUGAGGGGUGGCCGAAGGAGUGGCUGCAUAGAGAGACGCCUUCACUGGUUAUUGGUGUGACCUGUCAGGUCGUCCAGAAGGGGGCUGCUGGGGGCCACAUUGACCACAGCUUUAUUUUUCAGGUUGGCAGUGCCCCCUUCUGGACUUUUCUAGGUUCGGUGGUAACCUCUUCUGUGAGCUCAUUCUUCCCCCCUCUCCUCCCUCUCAGUCUGAGGUUAUGGGUUCGAUUAAAACCUUGGCCUCUGGUCAUCUGUGGCAAGCAGAUGGCACCAGGAGACGCGGAGGCCCUGGAGGACACAGCGGCUCACAUUGAUGCCUGCAGAUUGAUUGCCAGAGGCUUAGGAAGUUCUGCACUGCCUGGUGACCAGGCUGGGGAAGCCCUGUAUUCAGGAGGCCACCGUUUAAAUUGUUCAGAUGAGCUUAUGGGGGGCAGUGCGAAGCAGAUGCUUCCGGCUGGAGGGGCCAUCAGCUGUGAAUGUUGGUUCCAGAUGAAUGUCUCGUUCUGGGAGCACCAUUCCCCCGGAUGCAUGGAUGCUAGCAGGCACCCCUCCUUUCUUAGGGGUACGGGUUUUUCAGCUGCCACGUCUUCUAGAUCAAGCCUACAGUCUUUGUAGUUCUGUGCCACGAACUUUACUUCGAGAAGAUUUCUUGAGGUGUAGAACAUUUUAACGUUGAUGUCACAACGCAGAUGAUGCCUUGUAGAUGGUGUUUGCAGACGGAGCCCAGUGACCUCACCCACCAUGCUCUUCCAGCCUGUCUGCCUGCCUCUGCGUUGGUCAGAGGAAUUCCUAGUGUGAUGAAACUUUUGGGUGCUGGGGAAAGCUGUUUGGUUUUAAAUGCCUGAGACAGAAAUUGUGAAAGUGGGAGGAGAGGUGGUUGCGUUUCAAGUUGGCCAUGCACACAUGAUUUGGAAGUGGCAGAUCUAGUUUGGGCGUUCUGGUGGCAUUGGGUACUAAAAAGGGAAUGAUGGAUCUACACUGAUCCUUGGGGUUUUGUCUUGGUACUGCAGAUGGAAGGUGACUGAGCUAGAAUAUUCUAACCGAGGAAUUCAUGCUUCAUUUCUUUGUGUUUCUGAGAUGGGGUCUGACACUAUCAAGUAGGCUUCCAACUCUUAAUCCGCCUGUCUAGGACUCAUGGAUGCUGGGAUUACAUGUGUGCCGCUACACCUGGCCUUCCAGUUUUUAAACUUGGCGUCUCCCACAUAUGGUUUCAGAGUACUCUGGACACCAGAGGUGGGACUUGCAGGAGCGGGAGGAGGGAAUCUGCUUGGCACUGGUGGGGGGGAUGACAACUUUUGGGGAGAGUUGAUGAGGGAUGCAGCUCAAGGUGGUAGGGUGCUGACAUGGGAUGGGAUUGGAAAUAAUGGGUUGAUAAGAAUUCUCCAGGGAAAUAAGAACUCAGAAACUAAAUAGGGCUGGUGCAUUAAGGAAAAAAAAAAAAAGUUCCUGUCUAGAAGCCAUGACAGUUGCUUGGGAAACUAAGAAAUGCUUAGGACUUAAAUUCAAGAAAAAAUUUGUUUUGCUUUGGUAUUAAAUGGGGAAGAUUGAAAAGUUGUGACUAAACCCAGUGUGGAAAGGUGUCAGACUCAAUAGAACUUAACCGUGAACAUGUAAACUGCCUAGGCAGUCUGGGAGAGCUGUGUACCGUGCCUGCAAGGUGGGGCUUUUAAAGCAUUUGGGGUUGCACUCAGGAUGAGAUUGGGCUCUUUGGAGUUUGUAAUUCAAAUUUUAUCAGAUACUUUGUGAUUGAAAUUCAUAUCAACAUGAAAGUGAGUUGUGACUGAAAUUCUGAUCAAAGUGACUGAAGGAAUUUAUUAUGCAAAUAAUACCUUAUAGAAAAAUAUCUGCUUGCAUUUCUAUGAUUGGUCAGUAAACAGCAAGACUGACUUCCUAAUUUUUCAAACCAGUCAUUGUAACAGAGACAAAUGAUCUUUUGUGUUGCGUGUGAAAUUACUGUACUAUUUGGUAGCAAACAAUUCCUGUACCUUUGCUGAGGCUGUGGUGAAUAAUCCACUGUGGUUUUAGCUUGAAUGGGACAUUUUAAGCCAUCCAGGAGUAGAGGGAACUGUCCAUCAAAACUA
Nannospalax galili (Upper Galilee mountains blind mole rat) is the source of this 2811-nucleotide long non-coding RNA. RefSeq lists it as uncharacterized. The record is from RefSeq and is a predicted model, not a curated record. The transcript has 2 exons. Lineage: Eukaryota; Metazoa; Chordata; Mammalia; Rodentia; Spalacidae.